This 438-nucleotide ribosomal RNA is filed under the name uncultured bacterium. Its description in RNAcentral is "bacterial SSU rRNA". It matches the Rfam family "Bacterial small subunit ribosomal RNA", at positions 339 to 794 of the family's 1533-position model. The record is from RNAcentral.
AUACGGAAGGCAGCAGUUGGGAAUCUUGCGCAAUGGGCGAAAGCCUGACGCAGCGACGCCGCGUGCGGGAUGACGGUCUUCGGAUUGUAAACCGCUUUUCUUCGGGACGAUAAUGACGGUACCGAAGGAAUCAGCCCCGGCUAACUCCGUGCCAGCAGCCGCGGUAAGACGGAGGGGGCGAGCGUUGUCCGGAAUUACUGGGCGUAAAGGGCGCGUAGGCGGGCGUGUACGGCGGUGGUGAAAGCUCCCGGCUCAACUGGGAGAGGCCCUCCGCAACGGCACGUCUCGAGGGUGGUAGAGGCAGAUGGAAUUCCAGGUGUAGCGGUGAAAUGCGUAGAGAUCUGGAGGAACACCCGUGGCGAAGGCGGUCUGCUGGGCCAUGCCUGACGCUGAAGCGCGAAGGCCAGGGGAGUGAACGGGAUUAGAUACCCUGGUAGA